GAUGAACGCUGGCGGCGUGCCUAAUACAUGCAAGUCGAGCGAACAGACGAGAAGCUUGCUCCUCUGAUGUUAGCGGCGGACGGGUGAGUAACACGUGGAUAACCUACCUAUAAGACUGGGAUAACUUCGGGAAACCGUAGCUAAUACCGGAUAAUAUUUGGAACCGCAUGGUUCUAAAGUGAAAGAUGGUCUUGCUAUCACUUAUAGAUGGACCCGCGCUGCAUUAGCUAGUUGGUAAGGUAACGGCUUACCAAGGCGACGAUACAUAGCCGACCUGAGAGGGUGAUCGGCCACACUGGAACUGAGACACGGUCCAGACUCCUACGGGAGGCAGCAGUAGGGAAUCUUCCGCAAUGGGCGAAAGCCUGACGGAGCAACGCCGCGUGAGUGAUGAAGGUCUUCGGAUCGUAAAACUCUGUUAUUAGGGAAGAACAUAUGUGUAAGUAACUGUGCACAUCUUGACGGUACCUAAUCAGAAAGCCACGGCUAACUACGUG
Molecule: ribosomal RNA, 497 nt
Filed under: uncultured bacterium
Lineage: Bacteria
Description: partial 16S ribosomal RNA
Rfam family: Bacterial small subunit ribosomal RNA
Source: RNAcentral